Etheostoma cragini (Arkansas darter) is the source of this 689-nucleotide long non-coding RNA. RefSeq lists it as uncharacterized. Lineage: Eukaryota; Metazoa; Chordata; Actinopteri; Perciformes; Percidae. The record is from RefSeq and is a predicted model, not a curated record. The transcript is spliced from 3 exons.
UCUUUCUGCAAGAGAGAGAGAGAGAGAGAGAGAGAGAGAGAGAGAGAGAGAGAGAGAGAGAAAGAGAGAGCAUCAGACACAAACAGGAGAGAAAAGUAGCCUAGAAAGAAGUAGAGCAGAGUGUGGUGAGGUAGUGCAGGUCAGCAUCUGAGGAAAUGCAUCUCCCUACAUCUGAUAAGCUAUUCUGCAGCGCUGCAACUCCCUGAACCCUCACGCACUGGCUGAACAACUGCACACAACUGCAUAGCGUUCUGUUUCUGAAUAGUUUGACCUCCUCAGGUUUAUGAAACCACCUAUCUGAGAAAGAAGGAAAGAUGGCUCCUCUCAGCUCAUGACACACAGUAUACAACCUGGGAGAAGGGGUUGUAAGCCGACAUUUCUUUCACCGUUACGUCCAAACAAUGGGAUCCACCGAUAUGUAGGACAACGUUGAUGCCACACCUUUGGCUAUAUCACACUGGAUUGAAAGAAAUUUCAACCAGUGACGAUCAGGGAGCAGUCAAGUUUCUGGAGUGUUGACAUGGAGUUACUGUUUGAUGGCUUUUCAAAUGCCCUUAAAAAUGAGACUUGUUUGUUUUGUGAUGCGAUUAAUGCUUCCUCUUCAGAUCAGGGGCUCAGUUUGGCAAUGUGUGACUUUAUUUCACAACUAUCAGUAACUGACCCUUUUCAUAUUUUUCACAUUCAAUCUG